Molecule: long non-coding RNA, 445 nt
Filed under: Elaeis guineensis (African oil palm)
Lineage: Eukaryota; Viridiplantae; Streptophyta; Magnoliopsida; Arecales; Arecaceae
Description: long non-coding RNA (EGUI_LNC013442)
Source: RNAcentral
AUGCUUUUCCAAGGAAAGCAAGUAUGAAGUAGACAAAUUCGAAUCGACUUAGCUUGGUAGCGUUCUGAACACUGGGUUCUACACUGGUGGUGGAAGUUUUAUAGAUAUAUACUUCUAGAAACACUUGAGAGCUUAUGAUGAUUUAAAAUGGCCAGUAUGGAAGCUGGAUGUAUUUAAUACGGGGAGUGGGGCCAGCACUCAACUGUGCUAUUUAAUCACAAUUCCCGACAAUUUAUAACUUGCUGUACCAAAAGCACAUGACUUGCUUACCUCAAUGCCUCCACAAAUCCACAUUGGAUAUCAAAUUAUUGGCCCUUUUCUCAGGUAAUGAGACGAACAACUGACGGCCUCUCCACAUUGUAAAGAGGCAUGCACCCUUAGCUGGACCCUUUUUUCCAACAGCUUUCCUCAUUUGGAAUAGUGUACACAUAAAAGAUGCAAGUCA